CUGGUACCUGCUGUGAGCAUUGAACAAUAUAAUGACAAUAGACAUGCGCGGAAAAUUACUGAUAAGGCUAUAAGGUUUGGAUAGUGAAAAUACAACUGGAUUCACAAGUUUGAAAACAGCUGUCAAGACUGAUAAAGCUGAUAAAACUAACUGACUAUCUGAAUGUCUGAAAAGCCUCUAACGGACUGACUUUGGAGUUAAUGGGACAAACCCCCAACUAACUCCAACUGACUGUAAUAAGGAAUACUGAAAUAAUUUAAUGAAAUAUAAACUUGUCCUCGAAGGAUGAGGACUCACCACUACUGCUGCUGCUGCUGUAACAUUGAACUAUCUAAGCGUGGUCAGGCAAUUGUGCAUCCAAACCUAUGAUGUAAGAAAUUAUAGCAUGAAGAAAAGUAUGCGAUUAGUACUUUGAAUGAACUGGUAUAUUAGAUGAGGUUAGGCUGAAAUACAUGGGUUAAUUAUGCAUGAAUAUAAUGACUGACUGAAUAGCAUGAGAUAACUAAGUAUGCAUGCAUGGAAACUAAAAUACUGAGAAUGCAAGACCAGGCAUAUAAUAAUUCAAAAAUAAUGUGUAAAAUGAAUUAUUAAAAUCUAAUAACUGAAUAACUGGAAGUCUGUAUGCUAUGGUCAAGCAAACCUGAAUUGAAUUCUAUACUGAACACUGAACUAAUACUGUAGGAGGUAUCAUCUAACCGACAUGCCCCAAUCUGAGUUAAUUGGGGUCCAACCUGUAACCCCAGUUGGAAGGGUGUCAGUACCAUGCCACGAGUACUAACAAUGGCUGUGUGGAUCCACUAAACUGAUGUCUCGAAGGAUUAGGGUGUCAGGCCUAACUGAUGGUUGACCCCUUAGAGAAAGUUAAGCCUAAACUGAUGGGUGAAUCCUCAUAUCCUACGCUGGCUACGUAGUUUUGGAAUAAAGAGAUUGCUACUAACGACUCUACCUAACUGAUGGGGAAGUCACCAUCCCUACAUUUACUCGGUGCUAAAUCCUACUCCCAACUGAACUGACAUUAAUUACUGGACUGAACUAAGUUUAACUAAACAAACAACUGUUUAUAAUAACUGACUGAAUGACAAUGCUCGUGGUUUAUCUGAAAUUAUUUAGAAAAUUUUAAAAUUAUGUAAAUAAUUUGGUAUCGGGUGUUCACAACCCACCAACACUGAAUGUAAUUAACAAUGAUGACUUAUAAAGCUUUAAAAACCCAUAGUAGGGGAUCAUUGCUCAAAACCCAACAUUUAGUCAUUUCAUCAAACACAUAAGAGUCAUAAAUUUAUGAAAUGCACUGAGAGUUCACCCUGGGAAUCACACGGUUCUUACGACCCCGAAGGACUACAAACUAACCCAUGACUGGUACUUGCUGUGAAUACUGAAUAAUAAUUAUGAAACAUAUACGGAAGUAAAACUGAAAAUGCCAUAAGGUUCAUAAAACUAAAAUCAAUACUAAGUACAUUGGUAGAAUAACUGCUAACUGAAAGUGUGUGAAAUUCUCUAAACAUCUGGAAUAAAAGAGUUGAUAGGACAGGCCUCAACUAACUCACAACUGCUGUAUGAAAAUAACAGAAAUACUGAAAGUAAUGCAUUAACUAAAUAAUAUCAUGUCCUCGAUAGAUGUGGACUCACCACUGUAGCUGUAGAUGAUAGACUGAUCUGGCUAAAUACGGUUAGGAACCCAAGCGUCCGAACCUAUGAUAUGAGACAUCAUACCGCAAAAAAGAGUACGAGUCAGUACUUUGAAUGUACUGGUAUGCUAGGUAAGGUUAGGCUAAUAUGCAUGGGUUCAUGUGAAUGAGUAAUAAUAACUAAAUAUCAUGAAGUAACUAGAUGAGAGUAUAUGCAAGACUGGGACUACUGAAAGUACUGAACAUACAAUACCAAACAUAUAUCAUUUGUCUGAAUUAGUCUGAAAUUGAAGCACUGAAUUUCUGAUAACUGUAAGUCAUGAUCUUGUAGAACUGAACUGAGUUCUGAAUGCUGAAUACUAAUUAUUGAAACUGAGACUGUGGGAGGUAUCAUCUAGCUGACAUGCCCCAAUUUGAGAUAAUUAGGGUCCAACCUAUAACCCUAGUUGGAAGGGUGCUAGUAUCGUGCCACGGGUACUAACACUGGUUGUGAGUCACCCUAACUGGAAGAAAGAUAAUUUGUUAACCCUUUUUGGUAGGAAAACUCAUACGAGACAUGUCAACCGUUAUCUGGCGAGAAGAUAUCUCAACCUACACUAGCUACGUAGUUUUGUAACUCAGGGAUUGCUAUGAAGGGUCACACCAUAACCUGGCGGGAAUACCCCCAUCCCUUUGGGUUUGCUCUGUGCUGAAUCCUACUCCCAAUUGAAAGACACUGAUUACUGAGAUAAACUGAGCUUAAUUGAGCCAACAACUGACUAUGAUACUGAUCACUUGAUUGGGCUAGGCUGAACUGAACUCGUACUGACCAUGUUAAUUGACCCAGUAUUACUGCUACUGAUACGACUGGGACCUUUCAAAAACUACUGAAAACUAAGUAAACAGCUAAAUUUUAGGUAUCACAACCCCCAGGACUGAUAUAAUUGACAAUAGAACCAUACCACAACUUUAAAUGCUUAACAAUAGAACAUAAUGCAAAAUUCAUUCACUUAGACAUUUUGUCAAACACUUGGGAGGCAUAAUCUUGUACGUGGGAAUGAAUAACAUGUUAAUGUAUCGUAACUUCAACAAUCAAUUCAUAAUUCAAGGGUUUGGCAUGAGAUCUACAUCACCCAACAUACCCUUUUGUUUACUUUACAUGUAACUUCUAUUUUCUUAACUUGAAACUCAGACAACAACACAUAUAUGGACAAAGUUCAAUAUAAAUCAUGUGAAACUCAUAACUUGAAUUUAAAAGAGGUUCUUGGACUCCAAGGGAGAAAGGGACCCAAGGAUGAACAUCUAACAUACCUUAGUUGUUGAAUUCAUGAGAAUUGUUGGUGAUUUCUUUGAACUUGAUCUUAGACUUGAUGAUCUAGGGUUUGCUCUUGAGAGAAUUGUAUGAAAUGAUGAGUGAAUUUUCCUUGCGGAAGGCUUAAUUUUGUGUUAUGGUGGGUUAAGAUGGGUGGAAAUAACUCCUUUGCCCCCAUAAACCCGUAAUUUAAUAACCAAAAAUGUGCCUAGUGAUGCAACAAACGACGUGCCACUUCGAUCAACCCGAUGCGAUGACCACCGUAUUACGUCAAUGAUGACGAUGCGAUAGCCAAUGCGAUGCAUCCUGAUCACGUUGGCUCACUAUUUUGGUCAUCCAAACAUGUCUGAAACGAUGCCCAAAUUUUUGAAACUUACCCGAGAUGACCUAUAGAUAACCCUGAUCAUGAAUCAAUUUAAAAAUCGACAAUUUAAGGUCGGAAAGAUCGAAAUAAAAUUCAUCUAAGUUGAGAGGCCAAAACAAGACUAAGUCUUAACACUUAGCUAAAUUUUCUAAGUCUUGAACCCCUUUAGUAUGCAACAUUAGACUAAAAUGAGCUAAGAUUCUUGCGGGGUCUUACAAUAUAAGCAUGGUAAAGGGGUAAGGCAUGCAAGAAUAACAUGAUCACAAUACUAAAACCAUGAAUUAGGGAUUCGAUAUGAAGAUUUCAAUAUUCAAAACAUGUAAUGGCUCAUCCCAUCAAAAAUACUUGUAAACAUAACUCAAUAUCAAAAUCAUUAAUAACUUCGUGGAGAUAAUUCAACUUAAUCAUGUAAAUACUCAUACUUUAAGCAUAAAAGGGGAUUCUUGGACUCCAUGGGUGAAAGGGCCCAUGGAUGAACAUCACACGUACCUUAAACCCUUAGGCUUGAGAGAGAGAAACACUAAUUUUGAUGCUUUCCUAAAUGUUCUUAGAUUCGAGAUCUUGUAUUCUUGGUUUUCUUGGAGAGAAAGUAAUGGAAUUUGAUGAUCUUGGGGUAUGACUAGGGUUUCUUUGAGAGGAGGAUUAGAAAAGAUGGGAAAAUAAUGCCCUAACAAAAGCUUUAAGUCAUGAAUUUAUAAAUUGGGUUAAGGGGAAAAGACGUAAUUGCCCCUUAAAUAUUUAAAUUCAUACCUGGAAUGUGGAUUAUGUGUUCAUCAUGAUGCAAUGACUGCUCCAUCGCUAUAACCAGCGUGACGUGAUGCUAUCGCAAUGAUCUGCUAUAAUCAUGAUCUAAACAUGACCCAAUCCUUGUUUGAAAAAUCUAAAACUUCUCUGAGAUAUGCUCCCGACACCCUUAAACAUGAAUUAACUCCAAAACCAACAUCUCGGGGUCGAGAAGACCAAUUUAAAAAUCCUCGAAGUUAAGGGGCCUUCAAAAUGACUAAGUUCCCAACACUUAGUGAAAUUUUCAGGCUUUAAGCCUCUUAUGUAUGUAAGUAGGAGCUGAACUGAGUUAAGAAUAAAACGGGGUAUUACAAUAUCUCAUCCUUGGGAAUAUUCAUCCUCGAAUGAGACUGAUUAACCUGAGAGUUCUGAACUAAGCCAAUUGAGAUCAUAUACUGAACAUGCAUGACUGUGAACAUAAUUACAUGACUGAGUCUGAAAUAUGACACAUGACUGAACUAAUUUCGUGAUUGAAUGCAAUGACAUGAGAAUGGUUAUAAGGUCGAGAUAGAAAUAAGAGAGUCAAAUAAUGAGUAAACAUUACCUUAGCCUAGAUCUGGUUUCGUGAACAAAAGUCGAGAGGCUUAAGACAUGAAAACUUAGGGUGUUACAACAUCUCCCCCUUGGGAUUAUUAGUUUCCAAAUGAUACUGACUUGGCUGAAAUACUUAGAAAAGACUAAAAUGAUGUAUGAGACACUUAUGAACUGAAUCAUAACUGAAUAUUUAAAUCUGAAACAUAAUGCAUGAACUGAACUGACUUCACAAUUUUCAUGGAUACGAACAAUUACCUCUUGGAAUGACCAUACUCAUGGAACGUCAGAUAGUAAGACUAGAUCGAAAGAUGGAAAAACCAUAAGAACUUGUCUGUCUGACUGCUAGAAUGGAUAGUCGGUUAUACGAACUGAAUCAUACUGAAAGUUUAUACUUAACUAUAUAUUACACUUCCAAAACUUUACUUUACUUGAGGCUACUUAAAAUUUUCACAUGGGCACUAAUAACUCUAUCUACUGAAGUCUGAGCUGAACUAAAUUCUCUGACUUUGAUCAAGCCUAAAUAGUAAUUACAAGGUACUGCCUCAAGAACCAUUCUUCUUACUACCUCAACAACUAAAUUCAGCCUCUUACUAGGAAUUUACUAGUGCACAAUGCAUCCAUCCACUUCCAUACUAACAUGGAAUUCAAGCCUAUCAUUAUAACCACAUACAAACUUCCAGGCAAACACCCAUAAAAACAUCUUUCUCAUAUUCUCUAAACUUCCAUCAAUAACAACUUCCAUAAACUAUCCCCAAGAAAACACACCUAGAAUUCUCAACUAAUCAAGACAUAUACAAAAAGUUUAACCUCAACCUUUCUUCACCCUUAUAACCUUAUAUAUAUAUAUCAAACAAGCAUGCAACAAUCAUUCCUCAAUAAGAAAUAUUUACUUUCUCUCAAUAUACAAUUGAUCAUCAAUUUUCAUCACCACUAUCUUAACAUUAUGGAGAGGUCACUGGAAGGUUAGAACAAGAGGACCGGGAACAUGAAAGAAUACUAUGCGUAACUUUGACACUUAACCGAGGCCUGAGGUAUAGAGUAUCAAAAGCAUGAAUUCAAAAGAGAUAUAAACUGAGAACAUACAUGACAUAAUCUGAAUUUCACUGAUUACUAUAACAUACCAUGAGUUCUGGGAAUUGAACAUACUGUAAAGCAUGGGUACCUGAGUCAUGAGCUGCAUGACCUGAGUUUAGAGUUCGUAAAUUCAUGAAACAUGAUUCGUACUACUGAGCAAACUAGAACUCCUUAUACUAUAAACUGGAAGCGUACAUGAUUCUAUGGAAAAUGCAUGAAUAUGAGUUAUGAUUGUGGAGCUGAUAUGUAAGGAAUGAGUAGAUAUCGUGACGACUGAAAAACAAAACUUUGCAUUGAGAUAAGGAUGGGUUGGGAAUCAUCCUCCCUUACUAUUUUUCUACAACACACUAGCAUCACUAUGAGAAUCUGAGAGACUGACAUAGUUAAUUGUUCUAUGUUCUCUCCCUUAGAUUCAAGCUAUCAUUCUAAGUCUGUAGACCCCUUUAAUAAACUCUAAACUGAACUGCAAUACUCAACCUGAAAGACUAUACCUGAAAGUUUAAAACCCACUGCUAAUAAUCCCUUCUGAGCUACAACUCUUAACUUUCUAUAGCCCCAAUAGUCAUCACAUAAUAACUUAAACACUAACUAAUUUAGAACCUUCAUGAGUGUCACCAUACAAUGAUUUCACACCACUUAAAAUUUCAAUUCUCUUUACUAUUAGAUCAACCAUCCAAGAUUCAAACUUAGAUUCUAACACUUAACAUGGAUAUUCUCAAACUUUUAAUGAACCAUACUAACUUACACCAUAGCCUACUAAUAUCCCACUUCCAAACCUAUAUUUUUCUUUAAACCAUGCAGAUUUUCAUUAGACCUGAACAUCCAAAAUUAUUAUCCUAUAGCCCAUAAUUUAGCUGGUAAGAACAUCAAUUACUACACUACUAUCCUCAUUUAAUCUUAGCUACUCAAGGGUACUAUAUAAGUGCACCCACACCAUCACACUUAACUUAAUUUUUUGCAUACACUAUUUCAGGCCUACUAAUUCAUCUUUAAUACAACUAGCCUCAUGGAUACAUCAUCUACUAACUACCGAUAAACGCCAUCCCUACCUUACUACUUCUAAACUUCUGGAUUUAUACUUCUAACUGUAGAUCAUAUGCUGUCAUAAGAAUCUGAGAACGAAUAUAAAAGCACAUCCCUUAGAUAUCAUCUUUCUUGCUCUAAGAUAUGAAACGAUCUGACCCCCUAAGCACUAAGAUACUACCCCUCUAUUCAAUAAUGGGUUCAUUAAGAAACAAAAAAUAAACAACUUUAUUUCUACAGUCAACUGAGGCAUGACAUGAGUGGAGCUACUCCAUGCUGAGAAUGAUAUCAAAAGCAGUCUUCUCUAACUCCACAAGAUCUACUGAAGUAAUUUUUUGAGAUACUAUAGCCGGUAAUUUUUGUGUACCAGUCUGGCUGUAAUAGAUUUACCCAUUGGGGUAGACAUUGAGAAAUACUCUGCUAAUAUUUCUGGACUGAUACCAAAAUUGAUAGCUAUAUAGGGAGUCACAAAAGAAAGUGAAUCUCUAAGAUUUAAUAAAACAUAAACAUGGAGAUGAAAGACCUGUAAUGUACCCAUAACCAUAUCAGGAGAACUUUCUUAACCAUGUUGGUACUGGAGUGCAUAUAAUCUAUUCUGGCAUUGACCACUGGUGGCACUAGAAUUAGCGCCCUGCUGAGUCGAGCGACCUGCUGAGUCGAGCAACCUGCUAGAGCUGAUGACAGAUUGGACUGGCCUUAUUGGCACAAAUCCUUUCCUCUCUGAGCAACUACUGGGCACUCUCUAACCUUGUGGCCUGGCUUGCCAUACCUAAAACACACACUACUACCAGCCUUACACACACCUUAAUGAUUCCUACCAUAUUUUUGGCAAAGUGGAUUAGUACAACCAUUGUUCACACUACCUUGGGACUUGGAGCAUAGCGCCUUAUCCCGACUGUUAUUUUUGAAUUUUGGCACUAGUGCACUAGCUGAAGACAGAGCUGGGGCUGAGAAUUUUUGGUGGAACUAGGAAUGGUUACCACUCUCUAACCUUAACUUAAAAUUACUUAUUUUGUCUCUCUUAAUCUCUCUCUCUUUAUCCCUACAUUUAUCUUCCUCACUCUAUUGAUCAUGAAAUAUAAGCCUAGAUAGGACAAUAACCUAUUGAUCAUUCUAAGCAACUACUGAAUAAUAUAAGGUAGUAAAAGUAGCUCUGAAUUUAGCGUGAGAGACAUGCUCAUUCAUGGGAUCUUCCUGAAUAGGCGAAUGUAUGGACUACUUCCUAUUCCUUCUUUCUUUAUUUAUUUUGGGUGGUAUUAUCUAUAAAAACUGAAGGAUGAGUCAGGAAGAGAGUUUAAAAAGUGCUCAUGCUCUUUAGCAUGACAUGAAUACUAAAAGAUGGGAAAAUUUUCCUAAAAUAUCUUGUAGCCCCUUAUCCAUAAGUGCGGCGCGCUUUACACCCAUGUAUAAGACCCUACUCAACACGGAUAUUAGACUCCCUAGGACACUUAAAACCAUAGGUUCUAAUACCAAGUUUUGUCACAAAUUGAGGCUACCCCCUAGUCGUGACAAUGGUGAUAAUGGUCAUAAGUGACCACAAGUAAACCCAUGAGCUGGUACAUACCAUGAGCACUAAAUAAUAUAAAGAACAUAGACAUGUGCAAAAAAUAAUUGAUAAGGCCAUAAGGUUUAGAUACUGAAAAUACAAUUGAAUUCACAAGUUUGAAAGCAUCUGUCAAGACUGAUAAAGAUGAUAAAACUACCUGACUGUUAGAAUGUCUGAAAAACCUCUAACUGACUGACUGUAGAGUUGAUGGGACAAACCCCCAACUAACUCCAACUGACUAGAAUAAGAAAUACUAAAAUAAUUGAAUGAAAGAUAAACUUGUCCUCGAAGGAUGAGGACUCACCACUGCUGCUGCUGUAAUGCUUAAAUAUCUAAGUUAAUUUAGGAAAUUAUGCAUCUAAACCUAUGAUAUAAGACAUCAUAGCGUAAAGAAAAGUAUGUGAUUAGUACUUUGAAUGUACUGUUAUAUGAAAUGAGGUUAUGCUGAAAUGCAUGGGUUAAUUGUGAAUGAAUAUAAUUACUGACUGAAUAAUAUGAGAUAACUGAGCAUGUAUGCAUAGGAACUGAAAUACUGAGAAUGCAAGACCAAGUAUAUAAUAUUUCUGAAAUAAUCUAUAAACUAAAUUGCUAAAAUCUGAUAAGUGGAAGUCUGUAUGCUAUGGUAAAGCAAACCUAAACUGAAUUUUCUACUUAAUACUAAACUGAGACUGUGGGAGGUAUUAUCUAACCGACAUGCCUCAAUUUGAGCUAAUUGGGGUCAACCUGUAACCCCAGUUGGAAGAGUUUUAAUACCAUGCCACAAGUACUAAUAAUGGCAGUGUAGAUACACUAAACUGACGUCCCAAAAGACCAAGGUGUCAAGCCUAACUAACGGGUGACCCCUGAGAUGAAGUCAAGCCUAAACUGAAGGGUGAAUCCUCAUGUCCUAUGCUGGUCACGUUGUUCUGGAAUACAGGGACUGCUACUAAUAACUCGGCCUAACUGAUGGGAAAGCCGCCAUCCCUACAUUCUCUUAGUGCUAAAUCCUACUCCUAACUAAAAUAACACUAAUUACUGGACUAAACGAAGCUUAACUGAAUAAACAACUAUUUAUAAUAAUUGACUGAAUGACAAUGCUCUUUGUUUAUCUAAAAUCAUUUUGCAGAUACUGAAAUUAUAUAAAUAAUUAGGUAUCGGGUGCUCAUAACUCACCAACACUGAAUGGAAAUAAUAAUGAUGACUUAUAAAGCUUUAAAAAACCAUAUUAGGGGAUCAUUUCUUAAAACCCAACAUUUAGUCAUUUCAUCAAACACAUAAGUGUCAUGAAUUUAAGCAUGGUAAAGGGGUAAGACAUGCAAGAAUAACAUGAUCACAAUACUAAAACCAUGAAUUAGGGAUUUCAAUAUAAAGAUUUCAAUAUUCAAAACAUGUAAUGGCUCAUCCCAUAAAAAAUACUUGUAAACAUAACUAAAAAUCAAAAUCAAUAAUAGCUUCACGGAGAUAAUUCAACUUAAUCAUGUAAAAACUCAUACUUUAAACAUAAAAGGGGAUUCUUUCACUCCAUGAGUGAAAGGGACCAUGAAUAAACAUCAUACAUACCUUAAACCCUUAGGCUGGAGAGAGAGAAACACCAAUCUUGAUUCUUUCCUGAAUGUUCUUAGAUUGGGUAACUUGAAUUCUUGGUUUUCUUGGAGAGAAAGUAAUGAAAUUUGAUGAUCUUGGGGCAUUACUAGGGUUUCUUUAAGAGGAUGAUUGGAGAAGUGGGCAAAUAAUGACCUAACUGAAGCUUUAAGUAGUGAAUUUAUGAAUUGGGUUGAGGGGAAUAGACAUAAUUUCCCCUCAGAUAUUUAAAUUCAUAACUAAAAUGCAGAUUAUAUGGUCACCGCAAUAUGAUGAGGGCUUCAUUGCUAUAACUACCAUGAUGCGACACUAUCGCGAUGAGUUGUUGGAAUCGUGAUUCAAACAUGACCAAAUCCUCAUCCAAAAAAUCUUAAAAUUCUCCAAGACAUGCUCCUUACACCCCUAAAUAUGAAUUAACUCAAAACCAACAUCUCGGGGUUGGAAAGACAAUUUAAAAAUCCUCAAAGUUAAGGAGCCUUAAAGAUAACUAAGUCUCUAAUACUUAGUGAAUUUUUUAGUCUUUAAGCCUCUUAUGCAUGCAAUGUGGAGCUGAAUUGAGUUAAGAAUAAUAUGGGGUAUUACAAAAGUGGGCAUAGUGUUUAUCUAGAUUUAGUAGAUUAUGUACCUAUGGGGCUAGUUUUAUGAAAGGUGAAUCAGCAGGCUUGAAAUAGUGCAUGCAAGAAUUUAAGUUUGUUGAUUCGAAAUUAAGUUGGAUGGUGUGGGUGUAAUUUAGAGGUGUGCCUAAGGUGAUAUGGGAUUGUAGUAUUUCUAAGUUUUUAAGUAUGUGUGAUUAGAUAGUACCCUUGAGUAAGUGUGAAUGAGGCUAGUAAUAUGGUAUAUGAUGUUCUUACUAGCUAAGUUAUGGGCUAUAGAAAGUUAAGAGUUGUAUAUCAGAAGAAAGUACCAGCAGAGGGUUAUACACUUUUAGGUGUAGUCUUUUAGGGUGAAUUUAUUAUCUAUGUGUAUUGUUAUAUCCCAGACUCUAGAGUAAAGUGGUUAUAGUUCAGCUUAGAAAUUAUUAAAGGGGUUUGCAGACUUCAAAUCAUAGCUUUAAGCUAAGGGAGAGAUGAUAGGCCAAGUAACUAAGUCAGACUAUCAGAUUCUAGUAAUGAUGCUAGUGUAUUGUAGAACAUCAGUAGGGGAGGAAGAUUCCUGAUCCAUUCUUAUCUCAAGCAAUUUUUUGUACUGUAGUUAUCACGAGAUAUUCUCAUGACUUACAAGUCAUCCCUAUGAUCAUAGAUUAUAUUCUUGCACAUUCCAUAGAAUCAUGUACACUUCUAGUUCCUUGUAUGAGGAGUUCUAGUUCACUCAUCAGUACGAAUCAUACUCCAUGAAUUUAUGAACUCUAAACUUAGGUUAUGCAGCUCAUGACUCAUGUGCUCAUGUUUUACAGUAUGUUCAGUUCCAGUUACUCAUGUUACACUCUUAAUGACCAGUGAAACUUAGAUCAUGUCAUGUAUGUCCUCAGUUUUGAUCUCUUUAAUGAAUUCGUACUUUUGCUACUCUAUUCCCCAGGCCUCAGUUAAGCUCCCAAGGUAGGCAUAGUAUUCUUUUAUGUGUCAGGUCCUUAUGUUCUAACCUUUCAGUGACCUCUCCUUAUGUAAUGAUAGUGGCGAUGAGUAAUUGUUUAGAUGGGAGAGAGUAAAUAUUUCAUAUUAAGGAAAGAUCAUUGUAUGCUUGUUCUAUGUAAGGCUAUAAGCUGAAGAAAGAUUAAGGUUAAGCUUUUGAUAUAUGUCAUGGUUAGUUAAGAAUUCAUGUGUGUCUUCUUAAGAAUAAUGCAAGAAAAUUAUUUUGACAGAGGUUUAGAGAAUAUGAGAAAGAUGCUUUUAUGGGUUGUUCACCCAGAAGUUCAUAUUUGGUCAUCAUAAUAGGCUUGAAUGUCAUGUUGAUAUAUAAGUGGAUGGGUGCAUUGUGAGCUAGUGAAUUCCUAGUAAGAGGUUGAAUUUAGUUAUUAAAGGUGUAAGAAAAAUUAUUCUUGAGAUGAGAAGUUGUGAAAAAUACACGGGGUAUUGAAUUCAUGGUUUAGACUAGUGUUAUGGUGUUAUGUGUAGUACCUUGUGAUUUCGAGUUAGGGUUGAACUUGGUGAGAGUAUGUAGUUCAACUCAGACUUUGGCUAGAGUAGUUAUAUAUGCCCAUGUGAAAAUUUCAAGUUGAAUAAAUGAGCAUAGUAUUCAAGAGGGCAAAUAUGGUUGAGGAAGUAUUUGAGAAGAGUGAGUAAACUUGGAAAUUAGAAGUUGCCUUGCUUAAGGCAUAGUGAUUGUAUCCUAGCUGAUUCUUCAUAGACCUACAUUCCAUGUUAUAGAUUCAUAGCCAUGUUGCGAUUCCUUACUCAGAUGCCUUAUUCAGAUCAUGCCUAUGAUUUUUGCUCCCUAAUGUUAUUAGAACUUCCUGCAAAGAGUGUUGAAGAAAUACUCUAAUUUAGUAUGAACUUUCAAUAUGAGUUAGUCCGUAUAGACAAUAAUUUAGUUUAGCAGUCAGAAAGACAAGUUCCUAUGGUUUUCUAUUAUUUCAUCUAGUCUUACUAUCCAUGGUUUCAUGAAUAUGGAUGUUCCAUGAGGUAAUUCAUUCACGUCCAUGAAAGUUACGAAUUCAGUUCAGUUCAUGUGUUAUGAUUUAGAUUCAUCUAUGUAGUCAUGAUUCAGUUCAUAAAUAUUCACGAUUGAUCUCAGUUUUCCAUGUAUUUUCGCUCAAACAGUGUAAUACCCCUUGUACAAUCUUAGUCUCGUUAUCUCAUGAUUCAUGCUUGCAUAAGUUAUCACCUCGCAGUUCUAUGUGCAUGAUUGUAUCAUGAACACUUUAAGCGAGUUCUAAAAUUUCAGCAUGAAUCAGCUCCUUAUAGUAAGUAAAGUCAAGUCAGCUCAGGAACCAGUAACAUGAUAAAGUUAUAAUGCUUCAGCUCAUCUAUAUCCUUCAUUAACAACCAUGUCAUAUGUAUAUUAUUCCAUACUUAUAAGACUUCAACAAGUUCCUACCCAUCAUUUGAGGAUGAAUAAUUCCAAGGUAGAGAUAAUGUAACACCCUGUAUUUUCGGACUAGACUUUGAACCGUCGUUCGUACGAGUGUAAAAUCUAAUUCCAUGAUUUAUAUAAAUACAUGUGUCAUGAUCAUUAUAAUAGUGUUAAGAAUGCUUUUGAGGUGAAAAAUGUUCAUAGGAAUUACUUAGAGCGAAGAACCCUUGAUUUGGCUAAAUCUUUGUAUUCGAGUCUACAAGGAUCUACUUUGAAUGUGUAUAACUUUUGAUAUAUGGGUAAUUUUUCAGAUCAAGACCCACCAAAUGAUAUAUAAUUGAGUUAGCUUUCUAACUAUACCAAUUUCACCUUAAUAUGACACCCAAGUGAAAAGUUAUGGCCUUUUUCGUGAGAGGUAGUAAGGGUAGGUAAUAAGCCUACACCGUGGGGGUUAUUCCCACGGAAUAAGGCAGGCGUCAUGGGGGAUAAUCCCAUGUACUAGAGGGUGUACUUUGGGGUCUGUUCCUUCAGUGUUUCAGCUUCUUAAGGGUCAAGGGGUAGUUUGGUCCAUUCCCCUAAUCCUAAAUAUCCAAGGCACGAAUUAUAACACCCAAAAGGGCAGUAUUUGCCUAUCUUCUUCAAAUCAACUCACAUAAAAACCCUCUCCUUUCCCAAGAACUGUAAUUCAAGCUUUUUCUCUCAAUAACACAAGGAUUCAAGCUUCAAUUUCAAGAUUUAUUCAAGAAUCCGUUAAAUUAUUGUAUAUAGGGUUAUGAACAAGGGUCUCAUUUCACCCUUGUGACCAAAGUGCAUGAUUUUAAGAUUUAAUUUACUUGUUUAUGAAUUAGGGUUCAUACCUAAAUUUCUAUAUUCUUGAAGCAUGUUAUUUCCAUGAGAUUGAAAGCUUUAAGCUUAUCAAGAAUUGCUUAUGUUCAUGUUUUAACUUAUAAGAUUCGUAUUGUGAUUUUAGUUUCAUUAUUAUGACUGAGAUUGUUGAAAGAUUUCAAGAUGUCAACUAAGCAUGAAGUUUUGUCAUGAAUUUCCAAGAAUUUAAGCAUAUAUUAUAAGUUCGAAGUACAAGUAUUGAGUUUACAAGAAGAUUUUGCUCCUAAGCUCGAUUGAUAAGUUUUAUAUCAUGAUUUAAAGAAAAGAUUGAUCUUUUCAUCCUAACAUAAGAUAUGAAAUCCACAUAUGUUCAUCCUGAUUAUGAUUUAAAGAAAGAAAAGCAUAACUGGUUUUUGUUAUAUAAACCAUUAUGCUAUUUUAAGGUGGAUUUCCUAAAGUAUGAGCAUAUAAGUAAUAAGGGAGUAGUAUUUAGUACCGAUUUGGGUAUGAGUUCAAGGUCACAUGCUCCAAAACUACAUGCCAUGUAGGUUUAAGUCCCAAUAUGGGUUAAGUAUAGUGAUCACUCAAGUUAAGGUUCUAUUCUAAUGGCAAGGGUAGAAUAACUCUCCUCAACGUGGGUAAGAUGUUGGACACCAUGAUAGCUCACGUGGUUUAUGUCGGUUAGAAGAACCCCCCUAAAAAACCCAAAGGAAAGCUUUUAGAACUAAGUGUUAUGGCUUACAAAGUUUAUCCUUUUUCUUCAUUACUCAUGUUUAUGAUUUUGCAGUCUUUGUUUUAUUCAAGCUCAAGGUUAGUCAUCUACACUUAGCAUGCAUUAUUUGAAAGUCUAUGAGUAUAUUCAGUGAUUGUUUUACUUAUGCAUUCACCCCCUUAUACUCAGUACAUUCCAGAAGUAGUGAUCUAUAUAUAUGUCUAUGUGCUACAUUGUCUCAUAAUGUAGGUACCAGUUGUAGCCUACACGUCAUAAUUAGACAGUUUGCAGCUUUCAUCCAGCAAGUGAUGAGUUCUCCUAUUUUUGGGACUCCAGUCAGUUGUAGUCCAUGUACUUUAUUUUGAUUAUUCAUGUGUAUUGAUUAAUGGUAGUUAGAGGCAUGUCCCAUCUAUCUAUAGUCAAUAUAGUAGAGGCUUCAUAGAUAGUCAGUCAGAGUCAUGAAAUGUAAAUUCUAGUUCUUUCUUCAAUUUUAUCAGAUUGUAAACUUCAUCAGUAUUUUAUUUAUCUAUAUUAUGUCAUGAUUAUGUUUCCGCACAAUAAAUUUAGCUAUUUUAUUUAUUCUAAAUCAGUUGCUCAUGUACCAUAUCAGUUCAUAGGUUAGCUUGGGAUCACUUAUAGUUCUAAGAAAUGUGUUACAACUAGGGGGAAACCUCGGGUCGUGACAGUAUCUCAUAACCUCUCUAGCUAGUGUUUAUGGAUCAAGGUAUUUAUUAAAGUGUUUCUUAGUAGUACCAGUUUUCAUGAAUAUGAAUGAGUAAGAUGAGGAUGUAUGCUCAUAACCAAGUCUAUAUAAUGAUAAUGAAUUAAUUUAAUAAUGACAUAAAUGAGCUCAAAUAUCCUCAAUAUUAUAAUAUCUAUGAUAUAAGACCUCCUCAACAUCACUAAAGUGAAUAGUCAUGUAGAUAUCAAUAAUAUCAUCUCAAAAACCUCUCUCUCAGGUAUUACUAUCAUGAUAAAGGUAAAUAAUGUUCAAAAAGCCUAUAAUAUCUAUUUAAACCCCUGCACGGGUAACAAAAAAUGAUAGUGGUAUUUAAUGCACUCAUAAGGCCCAUAUAUGUUAUAAAAACCCCACUCGGGCAUCGCUACAAUUAUAUUUGCUCUAGUCAACAACAAUAUGCAAAUAAGACUCUAAAUAGUCAUAUGAUAAUAAUAAUAAUUCCAAAAUAUUACUCCCUCAACUAGAUUCCUAACCCAUAGCAUGUUUUUCAAGAAAGUUUACUCAACCCAGUCUAAAGAAAGUUAAGCCAUAACCAAUCUCAAAAUGCCAAAAUCUAAGCCUAGUUCAUUUAAUUUAGAGCCUUUCCUUUACAAACAAUCUUAAAAUAGCUAAAUAUACCAAAAAUAUACUCUAUGCAUUAAAAAGAAGCGAAUGAUACCCAUAUUAGUUAGAUAUAAAUUGAGUCUAAAAUUAGUUUGCAAAUGGAUUCAAAAUUAAAAAGGAUAAAAUCAGAAUUUUAUUUUAGUAACAUGUUGCCCAUGGGAAAAGGAAUCUAUAUUUGAAAAUACAAGUGAAGAAUAGUUAAAAUUGGUGUUCAGAAUGAUGAAAAAUUCUUUUAAUAGUUCACCGAAAAUAUCUCCAAAUUCUAGUUUGAAAAUAAGAUUCAAAGUUUUAUUUAAGAUAUAAUUAAUGAAAACUAAUAAAAAUAAGAGCUUAGAGCUUAUCCAAGAACAAAUGAUGAAGAAAACCUUAUAAUUUAUCCUUUCCUGAGUUCCAAAGUCUAAUAAUGGUGAAAAUUGUGUAUUUAAACUAUUCUGUAAAUAUUGCCUCACAAUUUUGGCCCCCACCUUGUGAUAGCGAGGGUCAAAGUUGACCAAUUUUGAAGCUGGUCAUUGUGAUUAUGUAGCUGAACCUCGCGAUCGUGAUGAUUCAACCCGAUCCUAUCCAUCAUUUAACUCUUCGCGAUCGUGGUACCCCCUCCUCUUGAAUGCAAUGAGUUACUUGAUAAAGGGUCAUGAUGGUGUCUAUAACCACACAAUUUUUUAUCAGAACCAAUACCCAUGCAUGCAUUGUAUUAUCUUUACAUUAAUAGUUAUCUUAGCGGUUGUAAAUGUUAGGAUCUCGCCUAAAUUAUUACUACCUACUCCAAAAGAGGAGUAGUGACUAGAAAAAGAUAAUGACAACAGUAAUUUGAGGUUUACCUGGCGAUCCACGCUACUAGGUCAUAUCUAAGUAAGAUGGUUAGAUUUCUUCUAUUUACUAGAGACUCAAAAGGUAAUAGUUAACUAGGAUCAAGAUAAAGGUUAGUAAGGUGACAUCCUGAAACUCAAAAGGUAAAUGGUGAAAUCCUUCUAUUCAUCCAAAAGACUGUAGAAGGUACAAAACUUAUCGAUUCUGAAUCCAAGGUAUUGGGUUGGUUAAACUAAGCACGAUAAGAUUACAAAGUUGAGAAGCUAGGGUGAACAUAAUACUAGUGUUCACCUAUGACUGAUUACAACCGAAGUUGAUAUUUGCUACUUGUUUUAGAUUACUACACAAAUCCCCCUAUUUACUUUUCCAGUUUUGACCGUUGACUACAACUGAUGAGAGCCAUGAUUCCAUGUAUUCCCUUGGGAUUCGACCCAAACUUUGUUUGGUUACUUUAUUUAACAGCGACCGUAUCAUCUUCUGAGAGGAGAUAUAACUUGGACGUCAUCAAAUUUUGGUGCCGUUGCCGAAGAAUAUGUGUUGAUUUAUGAAUUACAGUUAUUGUAAUUUUUGGGUUUUCUUUUUAUUUUACUCUUAAUUAGGAAUAUGACGGUGUAUGACUAGCAUAUAGAGUAGAGGAAAUCCUUUACUCCCACUGAAUUCAAAUCCAGAGAGGAUCCUACAAACACUUAGUAGGAUGUCAAAAUCGAAGAGAGAUAAUCUCCCUAAAGAAGGAAUUUAGGAUAUCACUGAUGGAUAGAAUGGUAAGCUAUUAGCUAAGACAAAGUUAGCUGAGCAGAGACAGGAAGCAGAGCGGACUCGGUGGAAAUUAGAACAAAACUAGAGGUGCCCAUCUUCAAGUAGUCCCAACAUAUCAGUACUUGUAACCAUUUAUUGAUGAUGAAGAAGUUCUGGGAUACGUUGAGCCAGAAGAUCCUGGAGCCAUUAUCCCUCCUAUUUACCUCUUAAUAUCAAGUUCAAUAUCUCUACUACUAUGAUCCAGCUCUUGUACUUGAAGGGUGUGUUUACGGGGUUACCUAUAAAUGAUGCAAACAUGCAUCUAGUAAAUUUUACUAGGAUAUACACUUUACAUACUAUUCUUGGAGUAGAUCAGGAGGCACUUAGAAUAAGGCCAUUCCUCUUCUCACUUACUGGAGAAGUAUUUUUAUGGCUAGAGGAUCUGCCAAAAGGAUCCAUCACUACAUAGAACGAGCUACACAGACAAUUCCUGAACAAAUUCUUUCCUUCAUCUAGAGUGUUGCAGCUAAAGAAUGAGAUAUAUAAUUUCAUGCAGCUACAGUCAGAAUCUACGAUAAGGCAUGGUUCAGGUUCAACAAGAAGCUUAGCAUGGUACCAAAUCACUGAAUUUAAGGGACGAGCUUACUAGAGAUAUUCGGUAAAGCCUUGACCAUCAGUUCUAGAGCUAUGGAAGAUACUAUUUCUGGAGGGGCAUUUAUGACAUUAAGACGGGAAAUAACUUCUUAUAUCAUGGAUCAAAUCUCACUCGCUAAUAUAGGGUAACAGACUUGGUAGGAUGAGAGAGGUUUUGAUACUUAUGCCAUUGGAGUUUCAAAUAAGUAGAGAGUAGCUAAGAAUGUUGUAGCAUAUGAGAUUUCUCUAUUGAGGACUGAUAUUGGUGAUUUGGCCAAAUAGUUUACAACAAUGAACUGGACAAAGGUUAAUGCAGUAGGGGUACAGAGAGUAAAUUCCAGAGUUUAUGAGUCUGAGUUAAAAGAGGAGGUAAAGUAUCUAGAUUAACAGAUGGUGGGUUUCUGAGCCCAAGGGCAAGGAAAUCAAGGUUAGAACUAUUAUGGAAAUAAAGACAAGUACAUACCACCUGGAAGAUAAGAUGCGGAGUCGAGAAUAGAAGAAAUGUUAAUAAAGCUGAUGAGGGGUCAAAAGAGCCAAGAAGCUUGACUUCAAGAACUUAAGGUUGAUAUUUAGGGAUUAGCAUAAAAGGUUGAGUCACAUACGAUUGCUAUUAAGCAGUUGGAGUAGCAGUAUGGGCAAAUCUCUAUCACUUUAACUGAGAGAUAGUCAGGAGCCCUUCCUUAUGAUAGUGUGCAGAAUCCUCUAACACUUGUUCAUAAUUUGGAUAUUAACACUAGGAAUGACUCCUCAUCUGAUGAGUAUUUUCUGCCUACUACUAAUGAGAUAAAGAAAGAGAAUAUUAUUGCUGACAACCUACUUAAGGCAGAGUUUGAGAAGCUAACUUAUAGUGAUUAUGAUUUUGAGAGUGAUUAUGAUAAUUAUUUGGUUGUAGAAGAGCUCCAAAAUAUAGUGAAGAAGUUUAGCACAAAUUCCUAUGCACCAUCAGUAGAAAAGAAGGGGGACCUAGGUACAAUGACUAUCCUAUGUUCUAUUGGGCCUUAUGAUUUUAAUCAGGCUCAAUAUGAUUCGGGAGAAGGAAUAAAUGUAAUUCCAUUGGUGAUAUACAAGGUGUUGGGGUUAGGAGAACUCAAGCCUAUAUCUGCAAGACUUUAUAUGGCCGAUUUAUCUAUAAAGGAGCUAGUGUGUAUUUUGCAUGAUGUAGAAGUAAGAGUGGCAUCAUUCACCAAUCUGGUAGAUUUUAUGAUUUUAGACUGUGAAGUGGAUGCCCAAUAUUUGAUUAUAUUGGGUAGACCCAUCUUGUCUACUAGUCAGGUGUUGAUUGAUAUGGAUUUGGAGGAGAUCACAUUCAAAUAGAACAAUGAGCAAAUUGUGUUAAAUAUAUGCAUGACAGUAUAAUAGUCAAAUAAUAUAAGAGUAGUGGUAGUGAUUGAUACAAUGGAUGAUGAUGUGGUGAUAGUAGAUGUGCCUAUUAAGGAGAGAUUAAGGGUAGAAACAUUAGCAACAAUAGUUAUGAACUUUGAGAGUGAUGGGGUAGAUGACUAUGAUGAGCUAGCGAGUGCACUACAUUGCAUAAGCUCUUACAAAUAUGCCCUAAGAAGCUGGAUCUUGACUUGAAGAAUAGAAACACACCUCCUACAAGACCAUCCAUUGAAGAACCACUGAUAUUGGAAUUAAAGGCCCUUUUACCUUAUUUGCAGUAUGCAUUCUUGAGGGACAACAAUACUUUAUCGGUAAUUAUUACGAUAAAUUUGGCAGGAGCAUAGGUAGAAGCUUUGAUAUUAGUGUUUCGAAAUUUCAAGAGAUCUAUUAAGUGGACCAUUGCUGACAUUGUAUGGAUUCCACCAGUUAUAUACACACAUAAGAUACAACUUGAGCUGGACAAUAUUCCCAGUAUUGAGCAUCAUAGAUGACUGAACCCUCCUAUGUAAGAGGUGGUAAAAAAAGAGAUAAUCAAGUGGUUAGAAGCUGGGGUGUUUUUCUCAUUGCAGACAGCAAGUGGGUAAUCCCAAUUUAAUGCAUGCCAAAGUAAGGGGGAAUCACAGUAGUCCACAUGAAAAAAUGAAUAAGUACCAAUGAGGCCAAUGGCCGGAUGAAGAGUAUGCAUGGAUUAUGGAAAGUUGAACAAGUGAGCACAAAAGCACCACUUCCCUAUGCCAUUUAUGGAUCAGAUGCUAGACAGACUAGUAGUUAGGGAUUGGUACUAUUUUCUUGAUGGGUAUUCAGGUUACAAUCAAAUCAUAAUUGCUGCCAAAGACCAAGAAAAUACUACCUUUACUUUCCCCUAUGGGACCAUUACAUUCAAGAGGAUGCCGUUUGGACUGUACAAUGCACCUACCACUUUUCAGAGAUGUAGGGUAUCCAUAUUCUCUGAUAUAGUGGUAGACACUAUCGAGGUAUUCAUGGAUGACUUUUCACUGGCCGGGGACUCAUUCAAUAACUCUAUAGCCCAUCUGGCCAGUGCACUUCAGAGAUGUGAAGAGUGUAAUUUAGUGCUAAAUUGGGGAAAAUGUCACUUCAUGGUGAGAAAAGAUAUCGUGUUAGGGCACAAGAUCUCCAAACAUAUUAUUGAGGUGGACAAAGUGAAUAUUAAAGUGAUUAAGAAAUUACCCCCACUAGUAUUAGUUAGAGGCAUACAAGACUUUUUGGGCCAUACAGGUUUUUAUAAGAGGUUCAUCCAGGACUUCUCUAAAAUUACAAUUUGUUUAUGUAAACUUUUAGAGAAGGAGGUGAAAUUUUUGUUUGAUGAUGCCUAUCUUAAGGAUUUCAAAUGCUUGAAGAAGCGGUUAUUUUGGCACCUUUUAUUGUGUCGCUUGACUUGUCUGCACCUUUUGAGGUUAUGUUUGAUGCGAGUGGAAUGUCCUUGGGUUUUGUACUAGUAUAAAAAAGAAAGAAGAUCUUGUAUCCCAUCUACUAUGCCAGCAAAGAUUUAAACCUCUGCACAGAAAAAUUAUACAAUCACAGAAAAUGAGCUGCUUGUGGUGGUUGUUGCUUUUGAAAAAUUUUAGUUUUAUUUGAUUAGGACCAAGGUUAUAGUUUAUACUAACCAUGCAACCUCGAGGUACUUGAUGUUGAAUAAAGAUGCCAAACCAAUGUAUUUAUUGAGUUCUCUUGUUGUAAGAGUUUGAUUUCAAAGUAAAGGACCAGAAAGAGAAAAAAAAAUUAAGUUGUAGACUACUUAUCUAGACUUGAGGAGGAGACCAUACAUAAACUAGGGGAUGAUUUUGAGAUAGAUGAUUCUUUUCCAAAUGAGCGGAUGUUAGUGACAUCUCAAGAUUUCAUUCCCUAGUUUUCUAAUUUUUCCAACUAUUUGGCAAGUGAUCUUGUCCAAGAAGAUCUAUCCUCCCAGCAGCGAUAGAGAUGUAUACAUAAGGCAAGAAAGUUCUUUGGGAUGAUCCAUAUUAAUUUAGGGUUUGUGUCGAUGGUGUAAUUCAAAUAUGUAUACCAGAGGUGGAGAUGAUAAGCAUUCUAGAGGCUUAUUAUUCAUCACCAAUUAGGGGUCAUCAUAGUUGUACACGCACAAUCCAUAAGAUCCUACAAUGUGGGUUUUAUUGUCCGACAAUCUACAAGGAUGAUCAUGAUUUUGCACAGGCCUAUGAUCAAUGUCAACGUCAAGGCAAUGUUUCUCGAUUCCAUGAACUCCCCAUGAUACCUAUUUUGGAGUUGAAGCCAUUUGAUAUAUGGGGGAUUGAUUUCAUGGGUCCAUUUGUGAGCUCCUAUGGCAUGGGAUACAUUCUGGUAGUGGUUGGCUUUGUAUUAAAAUGGGUGAAGGCAUUUUCACUUCCAGACAAUGAAGGUAGAAGUAUCACUGCCUUUUUGAAGAGAAAUAUCUUUUCUCAAUUUUUCACUCCACGUGUAAUUAUUAGUGAUGAUGGGUCUCACUUCUACAACCGAUUGUUUAAAGCCAUACUUGAUAGAUAUGGUGUAAGGCAUAAGGUGGUGACACCUUACUAUCCUUAGACAAGUGGGCAAGUGGAAGUCUCCAAUAGAGAAAUAAAGUCUAUCUUGGCGAAGACUGUGAAUGCCUCAGGAUUGACUGGUCUAGAAAGUUAGAUAAUGUAUUUUGGGCCUACCAUACAACUUAUAAGACCUCCAUAGGUGCCUCCCAAUAUUAUUUGGUGUAUGGAAAAGCAUACUACUUACCGGUUGAGCUAGAGCAUAAGGCACUAUGGGCAUUGAAAAGGCUACAUUUUGAGUGGCGUGAUGUAACAAACUUAAGGUUGAGCAAGGUAAAUGAGUUGGAUGAAAUCUGACUCGAUGCUUAUGAGAACUCGAUGAUAUACAAAGAAAGAAUGAAUUUGUAUCAUGACAAGAAGAUCAGAAAAAAAUAUUCAAACCUGGUGAUUUGGUCUUGUUAUAUAAUUCAAGACUAUGUUUGAUUCCUUGCAAACUGAAAUAAAAAUGGAAUGGACCAUUCACUGUGGUUAAGGUGUUCCCAUAUCAUGCUAUUAACAUAAAAUUUGAUGGUGAUAUCCCAUUUAAAGUGAAUGAGUAGUGAGUGAAACACUACAUGGAAACCUGUAAGAAGUAAGAGUUUGUUCUGAGAUAGACCUUGGUGAAGUCUGGGUAGCCAAGGGAACCAAGUCAUGCCGCGAUAGUAAAUCACACACUGCUUGGUAAUGUGCCAUGGAAAAAUCACACAUUCGAUCCUUAAAACAAGGAAUUUAUGCUUGGACUUAGGUUAUUUUAGUAGAUAUAAUGUGGUUUUGUAAGUUGUGUAGGUGAAACAGUUUAACAUUGGUCUUGAAAUGAAAAAUGGAAGAAAAAGUGCUAAAACUAGAGAUGACUGACCAUCUUACGAGUCUAGAGUAUAAGUCAUCAAGUCAUCAUAUGACUCGUAGACUUACUCAUAGGCAAGACAGCAAUAAAAGACAACCUGAAAAAGCUAAGUGGAGAAGGACCAUGAUCGUAAGGAGUGAAUAUGAAUCGUGAGAAGCAGGUCAUAAAUAGAACUGGAGCUAAAGCAAAUAUUAAGAGGUGAAUUCCUAGAAGACUAUUUCUUAAGAGCUGAUUUCAACAUGUAAGGAUAAGUCAUAAAGAUACCAGAGUUUAAAGCCCUAAGAAUCUAAGGCUCAAGUUACGCCGAGUGAUGGCCACGAGUAGUAAGGAUUGAAUAUGACUCAUGGUAAUGAAUUGUAACUACAAUAAAAUAUUAGAGCCCCAAAGAUAAGUCACUGGAGUGCUUACAACUAGCACCGUACGACUCGUAAAAAGACCUUAUAAGUAGACUACAUGAGUCGUAAUGAGUGCCGAUUUACUUUUCCUAUCGCAUUUUUAUUAGGACUUCUUUAUUAUUUUGAGAUAUUAUAUGUACCUUUGGGUUAUUCCUAUUUUAGGUUAUGCACUUUUACAUUACUUUUACUACUUUUAGCAUACUUUCAUCAUUGAGAUCUUGUUGAGAAAUUAAUUACAUGUGUUCUUUAUUGAUUAUCAUGGAUUAUUUCAUGAACAUGAGCAACUAAUUUUCUUGACUUGGGUUAUGGGAACCCUGGCGGAUUAAAAACAUAAAGUAAGUGGGAGAUUUAUCUAUUCUAUUGUAGUUGCAUGUAUCUUAAUAUUCUUUAUAUUAAUUGACCUCAGAGUUACUGCAGAAGCUUGAGGAUUUCCUAAUUCUAGAACGUCCUCAUAAGUGAGUUUGAGAUUAUGAAAAGGGGAUUAAGACAAAAAUUUGAGAUUCACGUCCAUCUUAUAAUUCUGCCAUCUCAUUUAAUCAACUCGAGACUCAAAAAGUGAAAUUUGAAUUGAGGUUAUUGGUAAGGGAAAAUAAGGAGAUACCUUGAGACUCACAAGGUUAAGGGUGAGAUUUAGCAACAAGUUCACAAGAUGAUUGAUAAUACAUAGCUUGUCGACUUUACUUGCAGAGCAACAGAAUAGGUGAGUUGAAAAAUAGAAGUUUAUGGAGUUGAGGAUCCAGGGGGAACACAGUCCUAGUGUUCGUCUUCUACUGUUUACGAACCCAAGCAUACAAGUUCUAUUACUAUUCACUUUUGACUUCAAAUUCCCCCUAUUUACUUUUUUUGCAUUUCUCAUGAAUUUUGUCAAGUUUGAGAUAUUGAUCAACAUUUUCUCUGUGGGUUUGACCCCAACCUGAUUUGGGUUACUAUAUUUGACAUCGACCAUAACAUACCUCUUUAGAGGUCAGUUUCUUGGCGACAUUACUUGGGAGCCAACCCAAGGUACACAGAUGCCUAGUGCAUCCCAAGUAUGUUUUACUUCCCUCUAUUUUACUUUAUUUUAGUGCAUUGAGGACAAUACAUAGUUUUUAGUUGGGGAUGGGAAUACUAUACUGCCGCGAGUUUUUCUUGUCGUGCUUCUUUUUCUAUCGGGCGCGGUAUGGUUGUAUAACCGACAUGUCUAGGAUAAAUUUUUGUCCUAUUGUGUUGUAUCUUUGUGUAAUUAGGAGAUUUUUAAGUAUUUAGGGCAGUAGUCAUAUUCUGAUUAAUUUUUGAUACCUGUCUGAAAAAUAUUUGUGUUUUACAAUUGUGUGGAGGUAUAUAUGUGUGAACAUUAUGGAUCUUGUUAUGACAUUAGCAUUAGGGAUAUGAUAAUCACUUGCUAACAAUUGCAUAAAAUGGAUAGUAGUAGUUUGUAAUACUGACUCUAUACCAUAUGUGUGUGAGAUACUACCUAGUGCCCUUUAUGUGUUGAAUUCAGAACUUGACUGGUUAGUCUUACCUAGGAUGAAAGAUCAUCGGGUUAGGAAAGGAUCAUAGGCUAUUUUUUUAUUUUAUUUCACUUUUAGCCUAAGUGACCUUCCCUAUGUGAAAUAGUAUCCCUUGAUCCCUAUUUUAAGCAUUAUAGCCUAUUUUCUUGUUUUGCCAAUUCAUCUUCCCAUUUAUAUUACAAUGAACCUGUUUUGGUCCUGAUCCUCCUUGGAUAUUGUGCACCUCAACACAGGCAAAUAUCCUAAGUUGAGUGUGGCUAUCAUAUGCGUGUGUAGUGUAAAAUAGGUAUGUAAAAGGGUAAAAUAAGAGAAAAAGUUAUUAGGGUUGGGUGUGGUUGAAAAAUAAAGAGAAAAAUAAAAACAAUUGCAAUAAAAGUGAAAAAAAAUAAAGACCACACCCAACCUGAAUGCGCAAUAAAGAAUAAAAAGGAAGAAAUUGUAUUACCCUAAAAAUCCAAACCAAUGUUAGCACCGUGUUUCAAGCUCAUGCAUAGUACUUCAUAGUUCUUUGAUAGUUUUAUUAGUUAGUUUGAUGUACGUUAAGGCCUCAAAUAACUCCCAGCUACUAGGUGAAUCCAAACAUCCCUUACCAAUUGAGUUUUCGGGAAGUAUGUUCUAAUAGUCAACUUCAAACGAGCAUAUCUUUUUCUCUACUUAGAAUUUUCCAGCUCAAGACCCAACAAGUUGUAUGAAAUUAAAUUAGAUUUCCAACGAUACUAAUUUUGCCUAAAUUCAAUCUCGGGUGAGAAGCUAUGGAACUUUUAGUGUGAAACAUUAUACCAAUACGAUAAGGCUUCACCGUGGUGAUGGCCAAAAUCACGUCCGUCCUUUUCUAGUGUGUCACCGCGGUAAGCACCGUGUUGCACCAACGGGAAUUUUUGAGUUCAUCACUUUCCAGUGAGGCACCGCGAUUGGCACCGUAUCGCGCCAAGGUUUCAAACCGAGAUUAUCCAUUUCCAGGGGUGCAACGCGAUAGCACCGCGUUGCUCCAUUGGAAAAAAUGGGGAUUUUCCUUUUCCAGUGGCACGACGCAAUUGCACCGCAUCGCGUCGGAGCCAAAAAUCAGGAUUUCCAGUUCAGUUUUGGAUUUUUAAUUUUCAAAGGGAUUUAAGUUCUUUACCUUCACCCCACUCAGUCCAAACACGGGAUUUAACUCCCAAGAGAGCAUUAUUUGCUCAUUAUUUCAUAAUCCUCUCAAAUUAAAGUAUCCCUCUUUCAAGAACAAAACUCUAGCCUUCAAGAUUCAAGAUCAAAUCUCAAGAAAAACUCCAAGAACUCUCACGAAUUCAUCAACAUAGGUAUGUUAAGUGUUCAUCUAUGGGUUCUUUUCACCCGUGGAGUAUAAAUAUCCAAUUCUAAAUUCAAAUUUGGGAUCUUUACAAGUUUUCAUAUUUUUAAUUGUGAUUUUAACUAUGAAUUCCCAUGAAUUGUAAUUCUACACCAUGUUUACAUUCAAUUGUUGUUGAUAUUGAACCCUACAUAUUUGAACAAUGCUAUUCUCUCAUUUAAAUCAUACUUAGUGAUGUUAAUGUUGAAAUCAUGUUAUUUCCACAAGCUUUACACUAUUACCAUGCUUAGCUUGAUCUAUGAAUGUCAAAUGUUUGAUGAAAUGCCUACAAGAAUGAGUUUUUGGAAAAUGCUUUCAUAUUAUGUCCUCCAAGUUUAGUACUAUUUUACUAUUAUUGCUAUCAAGUCCUGGGAGUUAUGAAUACCCAAAAAAUUAGCUGUUUACUUAGUCUCAGUAUCUUUAGAAUAGUUUUAGAAUAUGUUAUAAGCAUUAUCAGUUCAGUCAGUCAUCAUAAUCAGUUAAACUUAGAACAGAUCAGUAUUCUGAGUCAGUUCAGUUAGGAGUAGGAUUUAUCACCGAGCUAGUUCAGGGAUGGCGGCUUCCCCGUCAGAUAGGAAAAGCCAUUAGUAGCAGUCUUUGUACUCUAAAACUACGUAGCUAGCAUAGGAUGUGAGGAGUCACCCGUUAGUUUAGGCUUGACUACCUCGCGGGGGUCACCCGUCAGUUUAGGAUUGACACCCUUAGUCUUUCGAGACAACAUAUUAGUGGACCACACAGCCAGUAUUAGUACCCAUGGCACAGUACUGACACCCUUCCAACUGAGGUCACAGGUUGGACCCCAAAUUUGGUCAUUGGGGCAUGUCAGUUGAUGAUUGCUCCCACAGUCUCAGUCAAGUAAUCAGUUUAGUAAUUCGGUUUUAGUUUACUUGACCAUAGCAUACAGAUAUCAGAUAUUCAGUUAUCAAAUUUCUAUAUUUUGGUUUACCUAUAUAUUUGGAACAUAUUUUAUGCUUGGUCACGCAUCAGUCAAUAUCUACAGAUUUAAUGUAUUCUUAGUAUUUACAAAUUUUAUGCAUUCUAUUUAGUAUUUCAUGCUAUUUAUUCAGUCAGUUAUUAUGCAUGCACAUGAAAUCAUGCAUAUCAGCUACCUUAUUUAGCAUACCAGCACAUCCAAAGUACUGAUCGCAUACUUUUUUCUUGUGCCAUGAUGUAUCAUAUCAUAGGUUCGGAUGCUCAGUUCUCGGAUCGCGUAUAGACCUUCUAGAUUAUCAAUCGUAGCAGUGGUGAGUCCUCAUAUUUGGAGUAUAAACUAUAUUUAUUUUUAUGCUUUUAGUUCAGUAGUUAGAUGGAGUUAGUUGGGGCCUGUUCCAUCAACUCUUAUUCAGUCUAUUUAUAUGUUUUUGGACACUUCAGACAGUCAGUUUAUAUUUAUUUUAUCAGUUUCAGGCAGUUGUUUUUAGAAAGUUGUUUUCUAGAUUUAUGAUACAUAAAUGUUUUAGUAUUUAAAAUCUUAUGGCAUCUUCAAAUAUUUUGCCUAUGUUAUUUUGUUAUUAUUAUUCAGUGCUCACAGCAGGUACCAACUCAUGGGUUAGCUUGUGGUCCCUCGAGGUUGUAAACACCGUGUGGCACCCAGGGAGUACUCUCGGGGUGUUACAAACUUUGUAUUAGAGCUUAAGAUUUUAAAGUGUCCUAGGAAGUCUGAAAUCCACAUUAAGUAGAGUCUUAUGCAUGGGUGUGAAGCGUGCCACACUUAUGGGCAAGAUGCUAUAAGGCAUUUUAGGAAAAGUUCCCUUAUUUUAGUGUUUAUUUCGUGCGACUGAGCGUGAGAUUAUUUUAAACUCUUUUUAUAAUCCAUUCUUCCUUUUGUUUAUAGAAUAUGCCUCCCAGGAAGACAAACAAAAGAAGAAACGUAAAGCAUCUAACACCUCCACCCGCUCAGGAAGAUCCCUUGAAUGAGUAUAUUUCUUAUGAAGAGUUUAGAGCUGUAUUCACUACUCUAGCUCACAUUAUAGUGGCACAAAAUGUUCAUCCAACCGCUGUUCCGGCCAACCCAGUGGCGAAUACUACUGCAGCUAGGAUUCGAGACUUUACCCAAAUGAAUCCUCCUCUAUUUUUAAGAUCCAAAUCUGAAAAGGAUCCGCAGGAAUUCUUAGAGAUAGUAAAAAAGGUCACAAAUAUUAUGGGGGUAACUGCUAGUGAGAGUGAUGAGUUGACUGCUUACCAGCUGCAGGAUAUAGCCCAUACUUUGUUUAAGCAGUGAAAGGUAGAUAGAGGCGCAGAUGCAGGGCCUAUAGAGUAGAAAGAGUUUUCUACUGCCUUCUUAGAUAGGUUCUUACCAUUAGAGUUUAGAGAGUCUAAAGUGUUAGAGUUCAUCAACUUGAGGCAGGGUAAUAUGAGUGUGAAAGAGUAUUCCCUCAAGUUUACUCAGCUAACUAGGUAUGCUCGUCAUGUGGUUGCUGAUAGCAGGUCUAAGAUGAGCAAGUUCAUGUCUGAGGUAUCAUACUGUAUGUUCAAGGAGUGUAGGACUACAAUGUUGAUAAAAAAGAUGGAACUAUCUAGGCUUAUGGUCCAUGCUCAGCAGAUUGAGGAGAAUAAUACUAAGGAAAGAGAGAUGGAGAAUAAGAGGGCUAGAAUGGAUAGCUUCAAAUUUACUCAGCCAAAUUCAGAGGGUGGUAAUCAUCCUUAAUUUUAUCAAAAAUCCUUAUUCCCAGAUUCAUUUUCAGCUAGUGGCCCAAUACCCAAAUUCAGAAAUAAUAAUUAGGAUAGGGUGCCAGGCUCUAAGUCCCAAGGUAGUGUUAACAGUGGUCGUACAAAUACUCUUUGCCAAAAAUAAGGUAGAAACCAUCAGAGUGAAUGUAGAACUAGAAGUGAUGCAUGUUUUGGGUAUGGCAAACUAGGCCAUCGAAUUCAGGAGUGUUGGGUAGUUUCUCAUAAAGGUAGGGAUUUGCGCCAACAAGGCCAGUCCCAUCAGUCAUUAGUUCUAGUCAGCCGUUCUACUUAGCAGGGUGCCACUUCCAGUGCUACUAGUGGUCAGCGUCCAAAUAGAUUAUAUGCCCUUCAGUAUCGAUUGGAUCAGGAAAAUUCUCCUGAUGUGGUCACUAGUACGUUGCAAGUCUUUCAUUUAUAUGUUUAUACUUUAUUAGAAUAUGGAGUUUUUCUUUCUUUUAUAACCCCUUAUAUGACCGUCAACUUCAGAGUCAGUCUCAAAAUCAUAGCAGAGACUUUUUCAGUGUCUACCUUAAUGGAUGUCUCUAUUGUAGCCCGGUGGGUAUACAGGAACUGCCCAAUUACAGUGUCUUAAAAAGUUAUUUUAGUUGAUCCUAUAAAGUUAGAGAUGAUAGAUUUUGACAUCAUUCUCGGUAUAGAUUGGCUCCACUCAUGCUAUGCUUCAGUUGAUUGUAGAAAUAGAGUAGUUCAUUUUUAGUUACCAAAUGAGCUAGUCCUUGAAUGGAGGGGUAGUACUACAACGCUUAGGGGUCAGCUUGAUUCGUACCUUAGAGCGAGGACGAUGAUAUCCAAGGGGUGUAUUUAUCAUCUUGUCCAAGUCAAAGACUCUAAUUUUGAGACUCUAACUCUUGAAUCAGUUUUAGUGGUGAGGGAAUUUCCAGAUGUGUUCUCCGCAGAUCUUUCCAGAGUUUUGCCCGAAAGGGAAAUCAACUUUGGAAUAGACCUUCUUCCAGAUACCCUGCCUAUAUCUAUUCGCCAUACAGAAUGGCUCUAGCCGAACUCAUAAAGUUGAAAGAACAAUUGAAAGAUCUCCUAGAUAAGAGAUUUCUCAAGCCCAGCAUCUCUCAGUGGGGUGCACUAGUCCCAUUCGUGCACAAGAAAGAUGAUCCUCUUAGAAUGUGUAUUGACUACCAUUAGUUGAAUAAAGUCACAAUCAAGAAUAGAUACCCAUUUACCAGAAUCGAUGACUCGUUCGACCAACUUUAGGGUGACAGUUACUUUUCUAAGAUAGACCUCAGAUUCGGCUAUCAUUAGCUCAGAUUCAAACAAUAUGACAUUCUUAAAAUAGCUUUUAGUACUCGGUAUGGUCACUUCGAAUUCCUAGUCAUGUCCUUUAGUAUCACGAAUGCCCCAACAGCUUUUAUGGACUUGAUGAACCGAGGUUUAAGCAGUACUUGGACACGUUCAUCAUAGUCUUCAUUGAUGACGUUCUUGUCUACUCCCGUAGUGAAAAUGAUCAUACAGACCACCUCAAAAUAGUAUUGCAGACUCUUAGAACCCAUCAGUUGUUUGCUAAAUUCAGUAAGUGUGAAUUUUGGAUAAGAUCAGUGGCUUUUCUAGGAUAUAUUAUUUCUGGUGAUGGAAUUAAAGUUGAUCCUUAAAAGACUGAAACGGUGAGAAACUGGCCCAUACUUAUUUCUCCAUCAGAUAUCAGGAGUUUCUUGGGUUUGGCUGGCUAUUACCGAUGGUUUUUUGAAGGGUUUUCAUCUAUUACGUCCCUCAUGUCUAGAUUGACUUAGAAGAAAGUUAAGUUUCAGUGGUCAGAUUCUUAUGAGAAGAGUUUUUAGGAGUUAAAGAUUCGACUUCUAGUUUUGACAUUACCAGAUAGUUCGGAUGGGUUUGUUGUGUACUGUGAUGCUUUCAGAGUUGGUUUAGGGUGUGUUUUGAUAUAAAAGGGUAGGGUUGUGGACUAUGCCUCUAGAAAACUUAAACCCUAUGAAAGGAAUUACCCUGCCCAUGGUAUGAAGUGCAUGUUGAUGUGUUCACAGAUCACAAAAGCUUGUACUAUGUGUUUUCACAGAAAGAUUUAAACCUCCGCUAGAGAAGGUGGUUAAAAUUGUUGAAAGAUUAUGAUAUGAGUGUUUUGUAUCAUCCGAGUAAGGUCAAUGUAAUGGAAGAUUCCCUAAUUAAAUUAUCUAUGGGUAGUGUUGCUCAUGUUGAGGGUGAUAAGAAAAAGUUAGUUAUAGAAGUUCAUCAGCUUGCCAGAUUAGGUGUUCGUUUGGUUGAUUCAACUAAGGGUAGUAUUUGGGUUGAGAAUAGUUCAGAAUCUUCUUUGGUUGCCGAAUUAAAAUAAAAGCAAGACAGGGAUCCUAGUCUGGUGAAGCUGAAAGAUUCAGUCAGAGAUCAGAAAGUAGAGGUUUUCUCCCAAGGGGGAGAUAGUAUGUUGCAUUGCCUAGGUAGACUAUGUCUGCGUAUGUUGAUGAGUUGAGACAGUGAAUUCUUGAAGAAGCGCAUGGUGCAUGUUACUUAAUUUAUCCAGGGGCCACGAAGAUGUACUAUGAUUUAUGAAAAAUCUAUUGGUGGAGUGGGAUAAAGAUGGAUAUUGCAGAGUUUAUGGCUAAGUGCUCCAUGUGUCAUUAGGAUAAUAUUGAGCAUUAGAAGCCUAGUGGGUCUAUGCAGGAGUUCAGUAUUCACACUUGGAAGUGGGAGGAAGUGAACAUAGAUUUUGUGAUAGGUUUACCUCUUACCCCUCGACAACAUGAUUUGAUUUGGGUCAUUAUAUACAGGAUGACCAAAUUAGCCUAUUUCUUUCCAGUUCAUACUUCUUAUUCACUCAAGGCCUAUGCCAAACUCUAUCUCAGAGAGUUGGUUAGGUUGUACGGUGUUCGGAUAUCUAUCAUUUUAGAAAGAGCUACUCAGUUUACCUCUCACUUUUGGAAGUCCUUUCAGAAGGGUCUUGGUACCCAAGUUCACCUCAGUAUAGCCUUUCACCCUCAGACAAAUGGUCAGGCAGAAAGGACCAUUCAGACCCUUGAGGAUAUGUUGAGAGCACGUGUAGUUGACUGUAAAGAAAGUUGGGAUGACCACUUACCUUUGAUUGAAUUCACGUAUAAUAACAACUAUCAUUCUAGUAUCCAGAUGGCUCUAUUUGAAGUUCUAUAUGAGAGGAGAUGUAGAUCUUUGAUUGGUUGGUUUGAAGUAGGUGAGGCCACGGUAGUAGGGCUUGAAUUGGUGUUUGAUGCUUUAUAUAGUUGAUUAGGGAGAGGCUUAAGGCAACCCAGAGCCGAAAAAAAUCAUAUACAGAUGUGAGAAGGAAAGAUCUUGAGUUUGAGAUUGAUGAUUUUAUAUAUUUGAGAUUGAUGAUUUUGUAUAUCUAAAGAUCUCUCCUAUGAAGGGGGUAAAGAGGUUUGUAAGAAGGGGAAGCUUAGUCCCUGAUAUGUUGGCUCUUAUCGAAUUUUAAGCCGUUUAAAAAAGGUGGCCUAUGAGAUCGAGUUGCUUGCAGACUUAGCAUCAGUGCACCCAGUAUUCCAUAUCUCUUUGUUAAAGAAGUUCAUUGGAUACCCAACAGUUGUCGUUCCAUUAGAAAGCGUAGAUAUUCAGAACAACCUUUCUUUCUAAGAAAUUCUAGGCGAGAUCCUUGAUCGACAAACUCGUAGAAUAAUGAACAAAGAAGUUCCCCUAGUCAAAGUUCUUUGGCGGAAUUAGUCUAUUGAGGGAGCCACUUGGGAAGAAGAAGUAGAUAUACGGACCAAGUACACUCAUCUUUUCUUUGCGAACUCAGACUCAGCUCAAGGUAACAAUCAUCUUAGACUUUCAUUUUUUCAUGCUCAGUUUCAGCUGUAUAUAAUUCUCAUAUCCGUAUGCAUUCACAGAACCAGUUCAGUUAUGAAUUAUGUUUCAGACUCAGUUAUGUAAUCACGUUUUAAUCACAUAUAUUCAGUAUGUAACUUUAGUUCCUCAAUGCUUUUAGCUUAACCAGUCUCAUUCGAGGAAGAAUGUUCCCAAGGGGGAGAUAUUGUAAUUCUCCAAAAAUCCAAACCGAUGUUAGCGCCAUAUUUCAAACUCAUGCAUAGUACAUCAUACUUCUUUGAUAGUUUUAUGAGUUAGUUUGAUGUAUGUUAAGGCCUCAAAUAAAUCCCAGCUACUAGGCAAAACAUCUCUUACGAAUUGAGUUUUCGGGAAGUAUGUUGCAAUAGUCAACUUCAAACUAACAUAUCUUUUGCUCUACUUAGAAUUUUCCAGCUCAAGACCCACCAAGUUGCAGGAAAUUGAAUUAUCUUUCCAACUAUACCAAUUUUGCCUAAAUUUGAUACUCGGGUGAGAUGUUAUGACACUUUUAGUGUGAAACAGUAGCCCAAUACGAUAAGGCCGCGCCGUGGUGAUGGCCAAAAUCACGUUCGUCCUUUUGCAGUGUGUCAUCGUGGUAAGCACCGCAUCAUGCCAAGGAGCAUUUUUGCGUUCGUCACUUUCCAGUGAGGCAUUACGAUUGGCACUAUAUCGCGCCAAGUUGGCAAAUUGGGAUUGUCCGUUUCUAGAGGGACAACACGAUAUCAUCGCGUUCCGUUAUUGGAUAAAAUGGGGAUUGUCCUUUUCUAGUGGGAUGAGAUAAUUGUACUGCAUCGCGUCAGAGCUAAAAAUUGGGAUUUCCAGUUCAGUUCUGGGUUUUUAAUUUCCAAGGGCAUUUAAUUCCCUUCACCCCACUCAGACCAAACACGAGAUUUAAAUCCCAAGAGAGCAUUAUUUGGUCAAUCCUCUAAAAUUAAAGUAGCCCUCUUUCAAGAACAAAGCCCUAGCCUUCAAGAUUCAAGAUCAAAUCUCAAGAAAAACCCCAAGAACUCUCACGAAUUCAUCAACCCAGGUAUGUUAAGUGUUUAUCUCUGGGUUCUUUUCACCCAUGGAGUCAAAAUAUCCAAUUCUAAAUUCAAAUUUGGGAUCUUUACAAGCUUUUAUGAUUUUAAUUGUGAUUUUAACUAUGAAUUCCCAUGAAUUGUAAUUCUACACCAUGUUUACAUGCAAUUGUUAUUGAUAUUAAUCCCCACACGUUUGAACAAUACUAUUCGCUGAUUUAAAUUAUUCUUAGUGAUGUUGAUGUUGAAAUCAUGCUAUUUCCACAAGCUUUACACUAUUCCCAUGCUUAGCUUGAACUAUGAAUAUCAAGUGUUUGAUGAAAUGCCUAUAAGAAUGAAUUUUUGAUAAAUGCUUUCAUAUUAUGUCCUCCAAGUUUUGUACUAUUUUACUAUUAUUGCUACCGAGUCCUAGGGUUAUGAAUACCCAAAAGCUUAGCUGUUUACUUAGUCUCAGUAUCUUCAGAAUAGUUUUAGAAUAUGUUAUGAGCAUUAUCAGUUUAGUCAAUCAUCAUAAUUAGUUAAACUUAGAACAAAUCAGUAUUCUGAGUCAGUUCAGUUGGGAGUAAGAUUUAGCACCGAGCGAGUGCAGGGAUGGCGGCUUCCCCGUCAGAUAGGAAGAGUUGUUAGUAGCAGUUCCUGUACUCCAAAAUACAUAGCCAAUGUAGGAUAUGUGGAGUUGCCCGAUAGUUUAGGCUUGACUACCUCGUAGGGGUCACCCGUCAGUUUAGGCUUGACAUCCUUAGUCCUUCGGGACAACAUAUUAGUGGAUCCAUACAACAAGUGUUAGUACCCACGGCAUGGUACUGACACCCUUCCAACUAGGGUCAUAGUUUGGACCUUAAAUUUGCUCAUUGGGGCAUGUCGGUUAGAUGAUAGCUCCUACAGUCUCAGUCCAAUAAUCAGUUUAGUAAUUCAAUUUUAGUUUGCUUGACCAUAACAUAUAAAUAUUAAAUAUUCAGUUAUCAGAUUUUAGUAUUUCAGUUUACAAAUUAUAUUUAGAAUAUGUUUUAUACUUGGUCAUGCAUCCAUCAGUAUCGACAGAUUUAACGCAUUCUCAGUAUUUAUAGAUUUCAUGCAUUCUAUUUAGUAAUUCAUGCUAUUUAUUCAAUUAGCUAUUACUCAUGCACAUAAAAUCAUACAUAUCAGCCUACCUCAUUUAGCAUACCAGUACAUUCAAAGUACUGAUCGCAUACUCUUUUCUUGCGCUAUGAUGUAUUAUAUCAUUGGUUCGGAUGCUCAGUUCCUGAAUCGCGCAUAGACCUUCCAGAUUAUCAGUCGUAGCAGUGGCGAGUCCUCAUAUUUCAAGGACAGACUAUAUUUAUUUUUAUGCUUUCAGUUCAGUAGUUAGAUGGAGUUAGUUGGGGCCUGUCCCAUCAACUCUUAUUCAGUUAGUUUAGAGGCUUUUGGACACUUCAGACAGUCAGUCAGUUUAUCUUUAUUUUAUUAGUUUCACAUAGUUAUUUUCAGAUAGUUGUUUUCCAUAUUUAUGAUACAAAAAUCUUUUAGUAUUUAAAACCUUAUGGAGUCUACAAAUACUCCGCCUAUGUUAUUUUGUUAUUACUCAGUGCUCACAACAGGUACCAACUCAUGGGUUAUCUUGUGGUCCCUCGAGACUGUAAGCAUCGUGUGGAGUCCAGGGUGUACUCUCGGGGCAUUACAAAAAUAAGGGUGGACUAAAAUAAAAAUUGGCUAGUAAGUGAGACCCUAAGGUAGUGUAGUACCAAAGAGGCUUAGUCACUUGAUAUAUUCAUAUGUACCAUACUAGCCCUAAACCUACAUUACAAGCCGGGAAAGUUCUAUAGUAAUCCUAACUUGAUUGUUUGAAUGCUAAGUUAAAGAAAAUAAGAGCAAGCCUAUGGUAUUUGAUGCACAUUGAUUGGAACUUGUCUUCUGAGUGUGAGUGUUUCUUGAAUAUCCCUGCAUUGACAUGUAUUAUUUUAUAUGAGUGAGUGGAACAUCAUUGUUGUGAGGGCACUUGAGUCAUAUUGCUAGCUAUUUGCUUGUUUUGGGUAGUGUAACUUGUACAUAGGCGUGGUUGUCUAUUGCUCAUGUAGUGUCGUACCUUGAUCCCAUUGUGUCACAUUGUUGUGCUUCAAUGUUCAUACCCAAUUGAUUUUGAAAAGUGAGAUUGAAGGGGGUGUUAUGAUUUGAGCUUAAAGUGUUGAUUGACUACCUUGAAUAACUUAGAUUCUCCUAGUCAAGUGUCAUGUUUAGUUUUGUUUUUCUUUGUUGUGUUUUGUUACCUGAGGACAUACAAACAUUAUAAGUUGAAGGUGUUGAUGUGCUAUAGAAAUAUAGCACUUUCGAUGCUUAAAACAAGAAAAAUAUGCAAGUUUUUGAGGUUAUUUUGUUAGAUAUGAUAUAUUUUGGGUAUGUUUUACAGAAAGUCAUGUUUUGGAUGCUAAGUUCAUAAAAAAGAUGAAAAAGAUGUUUUUGGCUACUUAUUGGAGCAAUUAUGAAUAUUCAGGACACUUUUUGGCUUGUUCGUGAUCAAAGCAUGUUCGAGAAUUGAAGGAGAGAUGAAAAAAUAACUCCCGACACUUAUUAAGUCAACAUGUGGACCGCAAGUAGGACAUGUGGACCACAAGUGGGCAAAGGAAGUGCCAAAAGUCCAAAAUCUCGAGAGUUGACCUGCAGGAUUUUUGGGUCCUAGCACUUGCACCCACUACUUGCGCACACCCUGCAGGUCGCAAUUGCUACAUGCGCCGAGGGUUGGCCACAAGUGGCAACCAUAAGUGGUCACCGACCCUAUCUUCUUCUAUUUUAUUCAGGCUUUGAUUUUAGGGUUUUUUCAUGUACUAUAAAUACCCUUUAAGUGUUUUUAGUUUAAGUUACACACUUUUGAUAUUCACAAAUAUAGUUUGAUUCCAAGAUUCAAUUUCGAUCUUGGGAUUCUCUUGUAUUGACUUUAGUUGACUAAUUCAGUUACGGUUUUGGUUUUUUAUAUUCUUAUCAUUGUGAUUUCAUCUAUGCUUUCAAUUAUGAAUGUGAUUGAUUUCUUCAUAUGUAUGAGUAGCUAAAAACCCAUAGGGUUGUGGAAACCUUGACAGAUUGACAAAGUAGGGGAAGUGCUAUUCUUGAUCUGAACCGAUACCCAUACAUGCAGCAAAGACUUUGCAACCUAAAUACUUUGGCGAAGUGCUUGUUGCCACUGCAACAUGGAACUCUGAAGGCACUUUACAUGAAUAUGAAAUGAAGUUGGCAUGACUUUGCCAGUCUUAGAACACAUGAAAUGAGGAGUAGUGACUAGAAAAGAUAAUGACAAUAGUAAUUUGAGGUUUAACUGUCGACCUAAGCUACUAGGUAAUAUCUAAGUAAGAUGGUUAGCUUUCAUCUAAUAACUAGAGACUUAACAGGUAAUAGUUAAUUGAGAUCAAGAUAAGGGUUAGUAAGGCAAUAUCUUAAGACUCAAAAGGUAAAGAGUGAAAUCCUUCUGUUUGUCCAAAAUACUGUAGAAGGUGCAUAACUUAUCGAUUCUGCAUACAAGGUAUUGAGUUGGUUCAACUGAGCAUGAUAAGACUAUGUAGUUGAGAAGUCAAGAGGAACACAAUCCUAGUGUUCACCUACGACUAAUUACAACCGAAGUUGAUAUUUGCUAUUAGUUUGAGAUUACUACACAAAUCUCCCCAUUUACUUUUCCAGUUUUACCCAUUGACUACAAUUGCUGAGAUCCACGAUUCCAUAUAUUUCCUUGAUAUCCAACCCCAAAUUUUAUUGGAUUACUAUAUUUGAUAAAGACCAUAUCAUCUUUUGAGAGGAGGUCUAGCUUGGACGUCAUCACUAACUAUGCUUCUAACCUAAAAGCGAUAUUUUAGAUCUAAUGAAACUGUCCAAAUUGCCAUCCAGUAUUCGAAACUCAAUAUAUUGAUCAAAGUUAAACUAAUGACUUAUGAAUCCUUUAAUAGUCUCAAAUUCCCUCAAUCACCCACGAAUGCAUCAGGGACUGUGCCAGCCAACCCCAGAAUUCACAACUAGCAUGUAGAAAAUAUGGAGAAGUACAAAAUGGUUAAAACACAUAAAAAUCAUGACUAUGAUUGUUACAAGAGGCCUCAAGUUCAAAUCUUAGAUAUGGAGAAAGCUUAGUAGUUCUAAAAUAAUUCUAUCUUUAAUAGGAAUUAUGCAACAUAAAUCUAAGUAGGAUGACUCUUAAGUAGUAAGAAAUAUAUAGCAAUUCACUUGAUUACUUGUUGACCAAUGAAAAAUACAGAAAAAAUACACAAAAUAAAAAGAGGGCGAUCGACACGAGGUCUCUAGUUCAAAUCUUGAGAGUGAAGAAACUCUUUUUAAUUAGAAAGUUCUUUCUUCUUAUAUUCUAUGAUUCUAAAUUAGUCGGACUAGUGAAUAUUGAAAAGUUUAAAAUUAUUCAAACUUUGAAGAUUCAUUUCAUUGAUGUCAUUAGCUUCUACAAAUUACAUUAAAUUUAUUUUAAAGAUUAGAUACUUUUUCAAAUUUAGUAUUUUUAUCAACUAAAUUUAGGUAAAAUUACAGUUUGCGCCCAUUUCAUUUUCAACUUUACAUUCUUCAAAGGAAGUCAGGUUCUUAGAUUUUUCUUCUUGCUUGACCCACACCUUGGCCAAAUAAUUAUGUGGAAAAUCACCAUCCUUGGCAGAGAUGACCAAACAAUAAUAAUAUAUUCCCUUAUUGACUUUGCUUUCUCCUUUUAUUACUUCUUUAAAUUCUAAUUUUGUCUUUGCCUCCUUAUUGUGUUCAUCCACUGCAAACUUUCCUAUCUCUAUCACUUCUUCAGUUAUGUUGGUUAUAGGUUUCCAGUCCGAGCUUUCUUCCCAAUCUCCGUGUGUUUCAGAGAUAUGGAGGAGAAUUAUGGCAACCACUACUAAAAGAAUUCCAAGGAUGGGAUUGAAUUUGAUAGCCAUUUUUUCUUUGUAAGAAGAGAAUGAAUGAAAAACAUAAGUUAUUUUGUGAUGAUGAAAAUAGUUCAUUGGGUGGUCUUAUUUAUAGUGGAGAACUAUUAUGAUUUUCUUUUAAAAAUAUAAGUUACAAUCAAUGUGGGAUAAAGGCACAUUGAUUUGUGAAUUAUCUGUUAAUUUGCUUAUUUAUGAUGAAUAUUUAAUAAUUAAUAUUGUCUUGGUUAUUAGAAUUUUUUAGAUUUGUCACUGAUUUGACUAAAUAAUGCUAUAAUUUAUACAUAUCAUCAUAAUCAGAUACUCUCUCUGAACCAUCUUAUUUGUCAUUUUUAGUAAAAGUACUUUGUCCAAGAUAGUCGUUGUUCUAUAAAAUCAAGAUAUAACUUAACAUAUUUUACCUAUUUUUUUCUUUGUAAUCAUUAUUAUUGAAAGGAAUAAACAAUACUAGUUAAUUAUCAUAGAAAAUCUAAUUGAAGAGCAUAACAUAUUCUAAUAUUGUGAUUAGUUGGAGUAACUCACUUUUUAUUUAUUGAAAAGAUAUUAAAGAGAGACUAUUUAUUGAAGAGAGAUUAAUAUUUUAUAUGAUAAAUAAUAGUAAAUAAUAGUAUGAUAGCGUAAACACAAAAUUUCUUAAGGGACCUGUGACCAAAAAAUGUGUCAAGUAAUCUUGUGAACACAUAGCCCACAGGUUGGCCAAGUUGUUGGAUUGGGGUUAAAACAGGAAGAGAUCUAAGAAUUAGACAGUCCAAAAAUACAUUUGCUUUAUAACCCAUUUGAAUAGAGACAGAAAGGUUGCCGGUGUGAUUUUGGGGAUUCAUGCCGAUUUUGAAGAAAAUAUAUGUUCAUCUCAUCUUCUUUUUCAGAGUCUAAGCUCUUCAUCAGCAUUCUUAACUCUAUUUUUAGUUACUUGUUGUUACAGUAUUUUCCAUUGUAAUUCAAUAGUUUAAAUAUGUUUUAUCCUUUUUCGAAUUUCAUUAAAAAAGAAAACGAUUUUGACCUUUUCAAAACUAUUUAAAAAAAACUUCAAGAAAAUUUUGAAAUAAUGUUAAAAAAAUUACAGAGUUGUCAAUUGAUUUUUAUAGAAAAUAUCAAGAAAACUUAAAGAAAUUUUGAAAAAAACAUAAAUAAUUUUUUUAAAUAAGAGAAACUAAGUAAGGGUGGUUUAUUUAAUAGACUAAGAAGGUUUUGAAGACACUUAGGAAUGUCCGUUUGAAAAAAAGUUCACCAAAUAAUUUUUUACUAACUUAAAAAUGGUUAAUUUUGUAAACACUUCAUUUUAUAGAAAAUUUUAAAAUUAUUUAUCUGCAUAUUUAAAAUGAUAUUUAUUUAUUCAUAGGAGAAAUGUUCUACUUGAAUUAGAGAAAGACUCGUUUAAACUAAAUUGUAAAUUUUUGAUUCAAGAAGAAAAUAAAGAAGAUUAUAUAAUUAUUUUCUUAUUAUUUUAUGAUUAGUAUCAUUUUUAUUAUUAUAGGAAAGUAAAUUUUGUUAUAACUAAUACCUUUGGAAAAUGAUGUUAAGAGAACAUUAAAUUAAAAAUCUUUUUAUUUAUUAUGGAAAUUUGAAUUUUUUUAAAAAAAAGAUAAAUUAGUUUCUUAGGUUUGAAGAAAAUUACUUUAAUUCAAAUAAAAUAUUAGUCUUGUGAACACAACAAGUGUCAUCUUGGAAUCAAAGGGGAAAAACCGAAGGAAUCAAUUUAACCCAUUUUAACAAUAUUAAUUAGGUGAGAAAAAUUAUAGAUCAAGUAAGGAGGUCAAGAUAAAAUAGAAUUGCAACAACAUAGGAAACUACUAGAUUAAUUAAUUAAAUAUUAGAAUCAAUACAAAUAAUUUAAAAUGCAUUACAAUAAAGGAAAAGGUGAGAAUUGGGCCACUUUCUAUUAGACCAUAAGCCGCUGUCCAGACUUUGGGCUUGGUUUUUCAUGGACUUGAUUCAUUUCCGUUCUCGUAUAUCAUAUGUAUAUCAACAUCUCUUUUUUUCUGUGUUUUUCUGUAUACCACUGUGUAAUCAGCAUGUUUGCUUCCACUUUUCAUAUAUACAAUAUAAUGGUGUGUAGCGGCUACUUCCCAAUGUAUAUCAGUUGUAUAUAAGUGCAUACCAUCAUGUAUACUAGUGUUGUCUCAUGUAUAUCAGUUCAAUUUUAGAUUUUUAACUAAACUUGACUCGAUGGAGGUUGGUUUUGACCCAGUGGAAUGUGAGAGAUGAGAGCACGAUGGGUUCGGUGAGGAAAUUCAUGCAUAAAAGGGAUAGGAAAGGAUUAGAUAAAAAUCUUUAUCAACUUAAUCACGUACACAUUAAAUAACCACUUUCCAAGUGAAAUACCAUAGCUCAAUUUAAAUAGUAUAAUAACACUUAUAAUGAAGUCUAGGAAUGGAAGAAAAAUUUGCAUCAUCUAUCAAAUAGGACACCAAAGGAAUACCAUAAAAAGCUAGUAAAACAAUGUCCCGAUAUCAAUAUCAGCAUGAUUAAAGUUGUACGAGUAGCACACCACGGAAAACUAUAACCGCUUAAGGAAGUUUAGAGAAAAGAUUACAAUGAAGAAACCUACAAGAGCAUAACAACAUUUGAAACUACUCCAAUAUUGAAAAUGGAACUCUUCACAAUUUUCUUUUUAAAAAUAAUAGAUAAUAAUAAUAAUAAUUAAGGAAAAAUUUAAGACUAAGGAAUUAUAGAAUCUUCUUAUUGAUAAGAAAUUCAAUUUCAUAGCAUAAGACAAACCAACAAUUCAUUUUAAACUUUUGGUAAAGCUAUAGGAACGACAUAAAGCAAACCCAACAAAUUGCUUAAUCCAUGUUCGACCACUUUUAUAUAAAUAAAUAAAUUAGAUUUACUCUAUAGAAAAAAUUGAAUUAAAACAUCAUGGAACUAACUAAAUUUCACAUUGCCUAACACCCAAUAUGAACAAGAAAAAUAAGGAGAAGAUUUACCUUUUUCGGAUAGGAACUGAGACAAACUAGCUUUAAAUGAACGAAAUUUCAAUCCCGAAUCAUCGGAGUUUUAUUUUUAUUUUUUUUUGUUUUUGAAAUUAAUUUUUCAUUUGCAUUUCUCCUAAGAAUCCUCUCUCCGCCUCUCUCCAAAAAUUUACCCUUAACCUCAUGUAUUUAUAGCGAAAAAUAUUGGUUCGAAAAUAAUCAUUGGAGCCGGGUUCAGAGAUUGAUGGGAGAGAAUAAAAAGUAAUCGGUAAACUGAAAACAUAUCCCCAAAAUUCAAAUUUGAAUUGAUGGCUUCUGAUUUGAAUUACUUUUUAGGGUGAGAAUCACAUAAUCUUGAAUCAAAAGUCAAUAAUGAUGGC
RNAcentral lists this long non-coding RNA (41381 nucleotides) under Capsicum annuum. RNAcentral describes it as "long non-coding RNA (CANN_LNC000711)". Lineage: Eukaryota; Viridiplantae; Streptophyta; Magnoliopsida; Solanales; Solanaceae. The record is from RNAcentral.